Molecule: long non-coding RNA, 204 nt
Filed under: Panax ginseng (ginseng)
Lineage: Eukaryota; Viridiplantae; Streptophyta; Magnoliopsida; Apiales; Araliaceae
Description: long non-coding RNA (PGIN_LNC017932)
Source: RNAcentral
UUGCUCGUUUAUCUCUGAUGAAUUUGCUAAGAAGAUAGAAUUACCUAGAGAAGAACUGAAUUUCCCUUUGAAUAUAGAAAUUGCAAAUAAGGAGGUAAUCCCUGUUAUAUUCAUAUACAAGAACUGUAGGGUGAAUAUUAAGGAGAAUAUCUUGAUGGUAGAUUUGAUUCCAAUUAGACUUGGAGAGCUUGAUGUUAUUUUGGG